Sinocyclocheilus anshuiensis is the source of this 133-nucleotide long non-coding RNA. RefSeq lists it as uncharacterized. The transcript is spliced from 4 exons. The record is from RefSeq and is a predicted model, not a curated record. NCBI's taxonomy places the organism in Eukaryota, Metazoa, Chordata, Actinopteri, Cypriniformes, Cyprinidae.
GACUUCAGUCAGUCAUUUAUUCACUUUAUAACAGCACAAAUAUAUCGGUUCCGCAUAUUGGUUAUCAGGCACAUAAACACGCAAAUAACUGGUAUCGGUUAUAAAAAAAAAUCAAUAUUGGUCGAUCACUAGU